CCUACGGGAGGCAGCAGUAGGGAAUAUUGCGCAAUGGGGGAAACCCUGACGCAGCAACGCCGCGUGAAGGAUGAAGGUUUUCGGAUUGUAAACCCCUUUUAGCAGAGAAGAAAAGGAAGUGAUCUAACGAAUAAGCACUGGCUAACUCCGUGCCAGCAGCCGCGGUAAUACGGAGGGUGCGAGAGUGAGGCGGAAUCACUGGGCGUAACGAGCACGUAGGCGGGAUGGCAAGUCACAGGUGAAAUCCGAUGGCUUAACCAUAGAAAUGCAUUUGAAACUGUCAUUCUGGAGUAUGGGAGAGGUAGGUGGAAUUCUUGGUGUAGGGGUGAAAUCCGUAGAGAUCUGGAGGAAUAUCAAUUGCGAAGGCGACCUUCUGGAACAUAACUGACGCUGAUGAGCGAAAGCGUGGGGAGCAAACAGGAUUAGAUACCCGAGUAGUC
RNAcentral lists this ribosomal RNA (440 nucleotides) under uncultured bacterium. RNAcentral's name for it is "partial 16S ribosomal RNA". It matches the Rfam family "Bacterial small subunit ribosomal RNA", at positions 338 to 795 of the family's 1533-position model. The record is from RNAcentral.